UAGGGAAUCUUCCACAAUGGACGCAAGUCUGAUGGAGCAACGCCGCGUGAGUGAAGAAGGUUUUCGGACCGUAAAGCUCUGUUGUUGGUGAAGAAGGAUAGAGGUAGUAACUGGCCUUUAUUUGACGGUAAUCAACCAGAAAGUCACGGCUAACUACGUGCCAGCAGCCGCGGUAAUACGUAGGUGGCAAGCGUUGUCCGGAUUUAUUGGGCGUAAAGCGAGCGCAGGCGGAAGAAUAAGUCUGAUGUGAAAGCCCUCGGCUUAACCGAGGAAUUGCAUCGGAAACUGUUUUUCUUGAGUGCAGAAGAGGAGAGUAGAACUCCAUGUGUAGCGGUGGAAUGCGUAGAUAUAUGGAAGAAUACCAGUGGCGAAGGCGGCUCUCUGGUCUGCAACUGACGCUGAGGCUCGAAAGCAUGGGUAGCGAACAGGAUUAGAUACCCUGGUAGUCCAUGCCGCAAACGAUGAGUGCUAAGUGUUGGGAGGCUUCCGCCUCUCAGUGCUGCAGCUAACGCAUUAAGCACUCCGCCUGGGGGAGUACGACCGCAAGGUUGAAAC
This 555-nucleotide ribosomal RNA is filed under the name uncultured bacterium. RNAcentral describes it as "partial 16S ribosomal RNA". It matches the Rfam family "Bacterial small subunit ribosomal RNA", at positions 355 to 900 of the family's 1533-position model. The record is from RNAcentral.